GAUGAACGCUGGCGGCGUGCCUAAUACAUGCAAGUCGAGCGAACAGACGAGGAGCUUGCUCCUCUGACGUUAGCGGCGGACGGGUGAGUAACACGUGGAUAACCUACCUAUAAGACUGGGAUAACUUCGGGAAACCGGAGCUAAUACCGGAUAAUAUAUUUAACCGCAUGGUUCAAUAGUGAAAGACGGUUUUGCUGUCACUUAUAGAUGGAUCCGCGCCGCAUUAGCUAGUUGGUAAGGUAACGGCUUGCCAAGGCGACGAUGCGUAGCCGACCUGAGAGGGUGAUCGGACACACUGGAACUGAGACGCGGUCCAGACUCCUACGGGAGGCAGCAGUAGGGAAUCUUCCGCAAUGGGCGAAAGCCUGACGGAGCAACGCCGCGUGAGUGAUGAAGGUCUUCGGAUCGUAAAACUAUGUUAUUAGGGAAGAACAAAUGUGUAAGUAACUAUGCACGUCUUGACGGUACCUAAUCAGAAAGCCACGGCUAACUACGUG
RNAcentral lists this ribosomal RNA (497 nucleotides) under uncultured bacterium. RNAcentral describes it as "partial 16S ribosomal RNA". It matches the Rfam family "Bacterial small subunit ribosomal RNA", at positions 28 to 507 of the family's 1533-position model. The record is from RNAcentral.